UGGGGAAUUUUCCGCAAUGGGCGAAAGCCUGACGGAGCAAUGCCGCGUGGAGGUGGAAGGCCUACGGGUCGUCAACUUCUUUUCUCGGAGAAGAAACAAUGACGGUAUCUGAGGAAUAAGCAUCGGCUAACUCUGUGCCAGCAGCCGCGGUAAGACAGAGGAUGCAAGCGUUAUCCGGAAUGAUUGGGCGUAAAGCGUCUGUAGGUGGCUUUUCAAGUCCGCCGUCAAAUCCCAGGGCUCAACCCUGGACAGGCGGUGGAAACUACCAAGCUGGAGUACGGUAGGGGCAGAGGGAAUUUCCGGUGGAGCGGUGAAAUGCAUUGAGAUCGGAAAGAACACAACGGCGAAAGCACUCUGCUGGGCCGACACUGACACUGAGAGACGAAAGCUAGGGGAGCAAAUGGGAUUAGAGACCCCAGUAGUCCUAGCCGUAAACGAUGGAUACUAGGUGCUGUGCGACUCGACCCGUGC
Molecule: ribosomal RNA, 471 nt
Filed under: uncultured cyanobacterium
Lineage: Bacteria; Bacillati; Cyanobacteriota
Description: bacterial SSU rRNA
Rfam family: Bacterial small subunit ribosomal RNA
Source: RNAcentral